GAGCGGUAUUGUUUCUUCGGAAACGAGAGAGCGGCGCACGGGUGCGGAACACGUGUGCAACCUGCCUUUAUCCGGGGGGUAGCCUUUCGAAAGGAAGAUUAAUACCCCAUAAUAUUUUGAAUGGCAUCAUUUAAAAUUGAAAACUCCGGUGGAUAGAGAUGGGCACGCGCAAGAUUAGAUAGUUGGUAGGGUAACGGCCUACCAAGUCAGUGAUCUUUAGGGGGCCUGAGAGGGUGAUCCCCCACACUGGUACUGAGACACGGACCAGACUCCUACGGGAGGCAGCAGUGAGGAAUAUUGGACAAUGGGUGAGAGCCUGAUCCAGCCAUCCCGCGUGAAGGACGACGGCCCUAUGGGUUGUAAACUUCUUUUGUACAGGGAUAAACCUUUCCACGUGUGGAAAGCUGAAGGUACUGUACGAAUAAGCACCGGCUAACUCCGUG
This 443-nucleotide ribosomal RNA is filed under the name uncultured bacterium. RNAcentral's name for it is "bacterial SSU rRNA". It matches the Rfam family "Bacterial small subunit ribosomal RNA", at positions 64 to 507 of the family's 1533-position model. The record is from RNAcentral.